Molecule: ribosomal RNA, 305 nt
Filed under: uncultured bacterium
Lineage: Bacteria
Description: bacterial SSU rRNA
Rfam family: Bacterial small subunit ribosomal RNA
Source: RNAcentral
AUCCUACGGGGCGCAGCAGUAGGGAAUCUUCGGCAAUGGGCGAAAGCCUGACCGAGCAACGCCGCGUGAAUGAAGAAGGCCUUCGGGUUGUAAAAUUCUGUUAUAAGGGAAGAAAGGUGAUAGGAGGAAAUGACUAUCAAUUGACGGUACCUUAUGAGAAAGCCACGGCUAACUACGUGCCAGCAGCCGCGGUAAUACGUAGGUGGCAAGCGUUAUCCGGAUUUACUGGGUGUAAAGGGUGAGUAGGCGGUUCGGCAAGUCAUAUGUGAAAUACCCGGGCUUAACCCGGGAACCGCAUAAGAAAC